Alligator sinensis (Chinese alligator) is the source of this 1072-nucleotide long non-coding RNA. RefSeq lists it as uncharacterized. The transcript is spliced from 4 exons. NCBI's taxonomy places the organism in Eukaryota, Metazoa, Chordata, Crocodylia, Alligatoridae. The record is from RefSeq and is a predicted model, not a curated record.
AUCACUUCCACUGAUGAGGGACACUGCUUCUUUGAGUGAGUUUUCUUCAUGACUUAAAAGAUUUACUGAUGCAUUGGAAUUCCCUAUAUUGGAGGUUCAGAUGAACUUUAGAAACUCAAGAUAAGAACUAUAAAUCUGUUAUAAACCGGGAAGCCAUUUCUCAAGAACUGUAUGUUAGCUCUGCUCAGCUGGACAAGAGGAGAAUGGCAUCCAAGUGGGAAUUUUCUUACUCAGGUCUGGCAGCUGCUUUCAGUACUGUUGAUGCACAAACUGCUUCUGUAUGUUCCAACACAAUUUAGUUAAACUUAGAAGUGCCAGGCAUUGUGCUGGGUGCUGUAUGAACACAGAACAAGACACAGGCCCUGCCCUGAAAAAAAAGUUCCCAUGAGGAAAGAUGAACACGCUUGCUGUGCCUCUCCCCUGUACUGAACCCUCAGAUGAGACUUUUAACACAGACACGCUUUUCCCAUAGUUAAUAGCAAAUCCCCUCAGUGAACUCUCUGAGCAAAUCAUGUUUCUGCCCUUCAGUUUCUUCAGCCAUCACUAUAUCUCUGAACUUUUCUUCCAGUGAGAUUGUACUUUGGACACUUAAAAAACAAACAAAAAGGCCAGAGAGGAUUUGAGGUCAGGACGCACUGACAUCACUUUCACUUCUCUUCUUGUUUAACCUCUCUGGUUAUCCUUUUGCAACAGAGAGGCCAUCUGUUACUGCUUUGUCUUUGUUGUUAAGCACAAAGUAGCUCAGAAACUCAAUUGCAAUUAACUUGUUCCUUGAAUUUGCGCUUCACUAGCUUUUUAGGAAUGAAACUUUUUCCUUUAAUGUUAAAAUGUUAGCAGUAUCUUGCUCUUGUACCCCCUGGUCCUCUUCCAUUAACGAUGAAUAAACAAUGUUUUUAAAUGAGCUGGUAUGGUAUGUUGUAUGAGUAAUGUACCCUAAUGAAGAACACUGGGACAGAUGAAAUGCAAAAUAAUGUGCCACCAAAAACAUAUUACUCUGAAAAAUAUAGAAAGCAUCAAUAUAAAAACAACUCGGUUUGGAAUGUGGUGGCUGCAUUUCUGCAGGCAGAAGAAA